UCCCUGGUGGUUCAGUGGUUAAAACUUUGGGCUUCCGCUGCAGGAGGCACGGGUUCAAUCCCCGGUCAGGGAA
This 73-nucleotide transfer RNA is filed under the name Ovis aries (sheep). It matches the Rfam family "tRNA". Rfam says of the family: Transfer RNA (tRNA) molecules are approximately 80 nucleotides in length. Their secondary structure includes four short double-helical elements and three loops (D, anti-codon, and T loops). Further hydrogen bonds mediate the characteristic L-shaped molecular structure. tRNAs have two regions of fundamental functional importance: the anti-codon, which is responsible for specific mRNA codon recognition, and the 3' end, to which the tRNAs corresponding amino acid is attached (by aminoacyl-tRNA synthetases). tRNAs cope with the degeneracy of the genetic code in two manners: having more than one tRNA (with a specific anti-codon) for a particular amino acid; and 'wobble' base-pairing, i.e. permitting non-standard base-pairing at the 3rd anti-codon position. Lineage: Eukaryota; Metazoa; Chordata; Mammalia; Artiodactyla; Bovidae. The record is from Rfam by way of RNAcentral.